CUUCAAGCAAGAGGGCUCUCCUUGUAAACCUCUCUCCCAUGUCUUGGUGGUUCAUUGUAUGGGUUAACCAUACUGCUAUUCGCACCCUAUUCAGGUCUUCCACAUCCUUGAAUAUGAUCAUGGGUGAAGGAUACCAGUGUUCCUUUUUGUUCUCCACAUAACAAGUUAUCCUUUGCUUAAUAACAGCAAUCUUUUCAGCUGGCGUAGCAAGGUGAAUGAGGAACUCAACAGCAUCUCCCAUG
RNAcentral lists this unclassified non-coding RNA (242 nucleotides) under Hevea brasiliensis (rubber tree). Lineage: Eukaryota; Viridiplantae; Streptophyta; Magnoliopsida; Malpighiales; Euphorbiaceae. The record is from RNAcentral.